RNAcentral lists this small RNA (244 nucleotides) under Nannospalax galili (Upper Galilee mountains blind mole rat). Its description in RNAcentral is "7SK RNA (ENSNGAG00000008609.1)". It matches the Rfam family "7SK RNA", at positions 1 to 247 of the family's 331-position model. Rfam says of the family: 7SK was discovered as an abundant small nuclear RNA in the mid-70s but a possible function has only recently been suggested. The record is from RNAcentral. Lineage: Eukaryota; Metazoa; Chordata; Mammalia; Rodentia; Spalacidae.
AGACGUGACAGUGACCUGGCUAUGCCAUCUGUCACCCCAUUCAUCACCAGGGUGGAUUCAGGUGAUCUGGCUGACUAGGCAAGUGUCACCUCCUUCCCUCACUGCUCCACAUGCUUCCCUCCCAAAGCCACACAGUGGAUCAAACAAACUGACAACCUUCAUGAUAGUGGAGAACUGUUCAUGUAGCUGUGUUCUCCUGCUUGAACCUCCAAACCAAGUGCUCCACAUCGACCCCCUUCUCUGU